CAAGUUUCUUUAAACCACAUGAAAAUUGUAUUCUUCAUUUAAGGAUUUUUAAAGAAGUGUAUGUUAUGUCAUGGAAUUUUCCUUAUAAACAGAUCAAAUGUCACUGCAUAGAAGUCAAUGUAUGGUUUCCUUCCUUCAACUCUGGACUUGUAGUACGAUUAACAAGAGAAAAGGAAAGAUUAUAAAAUGAACACAGUUUGUAUUUCUUCACGAGUAUAACAGAAAGAUAUGACUGACGGUUUGAUUCUAAUGACAGAGGACACCAAGUCCCGAGUUAAAAAAGUAUGGAAAAAAUUCUCAACUAAACAGGAAGACAUGUAUGAACUUGGUAUUGCAAUGUUUCAACAGUUAUUUAAAAAGAAACCUGAAACAAAGGAAUUAUUUUCCUUUGAUGAAAAUAAUCCUGAUAGAUGGAAAAGGGUGAAAAGUCAUAUUAGACUUUUGUUUGAUAUGAUAGGUGAAUCUGUCAGUUCGUUAGACGAUCAAACAUCUAUGACACCUGUUCUUGAAAACUUAGGAAACAGACACUUUCAUUAUGGCGUCAAACAGGAUUUUUACCUGGUGUUUGGUGAAUGUCUUAUACAUGCAGUUGAGGAAGCACUUGGUGAUAGCCUUACUUUGGAAGAUAAGGAAGCAUUUAUGACACUGUACCACUGGAUUGGUGGUUGUAUUGUAAAAGGAAUAGCAAUGGAGUCUUAUAAAUAAAUGUUUUAUACCUUGAAAGAA
Mytilus californianus (California mussel) is the source of this 726-nucleotide RNA transcript. It is a transcript of the gene named neuroglobin-like, with no coding region annotated. The transcript is spliced from 6 exons. NCBI's taxonomy places the organism in Eukaryota, Metazoa, Mollusca, Bivalvia, Mytilida, Mytilidae. The record is from RefSeq and is a predicted model, not a curated record.